AGUAACGGCGAGUGAAGCGGCAACAGCUCAAAUUUGAAAUCUGGCUCUUUCAGGGUCCGAGUUGUAAUUUGUAGAAGAUGCUUCGGGUGUGGCUCUGGUCUAAGUUCCUUGGAACAGGACGUCAUAGAGGGUGAGAAUCCCGUAUGUGACUGGCUGCCUUCGCCUAUGUGAAGCUCUUUCGACGAGUCGAGUUGUUUGGG
This 200-nucleotide ribosomal RNA is filed under the name Helotiales sp. Its description in RNAcentral is "partial large subunit ribosomal RNA". It matches the Rfam family "Eukaryotic large subunit ribosomal RNA", at positions 82 to 278 of the family's 3401-position model. The record is from RNAcentral. Lineage: Eukaryota; Fungi; Ascomycota; Leotiomycetes; Helotiales.